This 872-nucleotide ribosomal RNA is filed under the name uncultured Spirochaetota bacterium. RNAcentral's name for it is "bacterial SSU rRNA". It matches the Rfam family "Bacterial small subunit ribosomal RNA", at positions 28 to 888 of the family's 1533-position model. The record is from RNAcentral. Lineage: Bacteria; Pseudomonadati; Spirochaetota.
AACAAACGCUGGCGGCGCGUAUUAAGCAUGCAAGUCGGACGGGAACCGGAGUCUUCGGACUCUGGGGAGAGUGGCGAACGGGUGAGUAACACGUAGGUGACCUAUCUUUGAGAGGGGGAUAGCCCAUGGAAACAUGGGGUAAUACCGCAUGAGGCCCUAUUUCAUGUAAUAGGGUGAAAGGAGCAGCUGUUCCGCUUGAAGAUGAGCCUGCGGUCCAUUAGUUAGUUGGCAGGGUAAGAGCCUACCAAGGCGACGAUGGAUAGCCGGCCUGAGAGGGUGAACGGUCACACUGGGACUGAGACACGGCCCAGACUCCUACGGGAGGCAGCAGCUAAGAAUCUUCCGCAAUGGGCGAAAGCCUGACGGAGCGACGCCGCGUGGACGAAGAAGGCAGGAAUGUUGUAAAGUCCUUUUCUUGACGAAGAAUAAGGAGAAGAGUGGAACGCUUCUCUGAUGACGUUAGUUGAGGAAUAAGCCCCGGCCAAUUACGUGCCAGCAGCCGCGGUAACACGUAUGGGGCAAGCGUUGUUCGGAAUUAUUGGGCGUAAAGGGCGCGUAGGCGGCUUUACAAGCCUGGUGUGAAAGGCAUCGGCCUAACCGAUGGAUAGCGCUGGGAACUGUGAGGCUAGAGUUCAGGAGGGGAAGCUGGAAUUCCUGGUGUAGGGGUGAAAUCUGUAGAUAUCAGGAAGAACACCGGUGGCGAAGGCGAGCUUCUGGCCAUGGACUGACGCUGAGGCGCGAAGGCGUGGGGAGCGAACAGGAUUAGAUACCCUGGUAGUCCACGCUGUAAACGAUGUGCACUGGGUGUUGGUGCUAGAGAGUAUCAGUGCCGUAGUUAACGCGAUAAGUGCACCGCCUGGGGAGUAUGCUCG